Molecule: transfer RNA, 49 nt
Filed under: Bos primigenius (aurochs)
Lineage: Eukaryota; Metazoa; Chordata; Mammalia; Artiodactyla; Bovidae
Description: partial tRNA-Phe
Source: RNAcentral
GUUGAUGUAGCUUAACCCAAAGCAAGGCACUGAAAAUGCCUAGAUGAGU